AAGACUAUACUUUCAGGGAUCGUUUCUAUAGUUUGUUACUAGAGAGGUUUCCCUGACGGUGAAGAGCACCCGAAACCACGAGGAGGAGACGCAGUGUUCUCUCCUGAGCAUGAAGCUGGCUUUUGGUGCUGCUUUUGCAACUGCCAAUAGCUAUUGGUGAUCUUUCUCCUCUUCCUCUGGAAGAGUAAAAGGGAGAGAACACAGUCUGACUGGU
Artibeus jamaicensis (Jamaican fruit-eating bat) is the source of this 214-nucleotide small nucleolar RNA. RefSeq annotates it as small nucleolar RNA U3. Lineage: Eukaryota; Metazoa; Chordata; Mammalia; Chiroptera; Phyllostomidae. The record is from RefSeq and is a predicted model, not a curated record. The transcript has a single exon.